Molecule: ribosomal RNA, 324 nt
Filed under: uncultured eukaryote
Lineage: Eukaryota
Description: partial 18S ribosomal RNA
Rfam family: Eukaryotic small subunit ribosomal RNA
Source: RNAcentral
CCCUUAGAUGUCCUGGGCUGCACGCGCGCUACACUGAUGUGUCCAGUAAGCACCUAACCUCUUCCGAAAGGAACGGGUAACCUUUGCAAAGCACAUCGUGAUGGGGAUAGAUUAUUGCAAUUAUUAGCCUUGAACGAGGAAUUCCUAGUAAGCACAAGUCAUCAGCUUGUGUUGAUUACGUCCCUGCCCUUUGUACACACCGCCCGUCGCUCCUACCGAUUGAAUGUUCCGGUGAGCUCUUCGGACUGCGCGGUCUGCAGUUUCUGCGUUCCGUGCGGAAAGUUGCGCAAACCUUAACAUUUAGAGGAAGGAGAAGGCGUAACA